This 1528-nucleotide ribosomal RNA is filed under the name Klebsiella pneumoniae. RNAcentral's name for it is "bacterial SSU rRNA". It matches the Rfam family "Bacterial small subunit ribosomal RNA". The record is from RNAcentral. Lineage: Bacteria; Pseudomonadati; Pseudomonadota; Gammaproteobacteria; Enterobacterales; Enterobacteriaceae.
AGAGUUUGAUCAUGGCUCAGAUUGAACGCUGGCGGCAGGCCUAACACAUGCAAGUCGAGCGGUAGCACAGAGAGCUUGCUCUCGGGUGACGAGCGGCGGACGGGUGAGUAAUGUCUGGGAAACUGCCUGAUGGAGGGGGAUAACUACUGGAAACGGUAGCUAAUACCGCAUAAUGUCGCAAGACCAAAGUGGGGGACCUUCGGGCCUCAUGCCAUCAGAUGUGCCCAGAUGGGAUUAGCUAGUAGGUGGGGUAACGGCUCACCUAGGCGACGAUCCCUAGCUGGUCUGAGAGGAUGACCAGCCACACUGGAACUGAGACACGGUCCAGACUCCUACGGGAGGCAGCAGUGGGGAAUAUUGCACAAUGGGCGCAAGCCUGAUGCAGCCAUGCCGCGUGUGUGAAGAAGGCCUUCGGGUUGUAAAGCACUUUCAGCGGGGAGGAAGGCGUUGAGGUUAAUAACCUCAUCGAUUGACGUUACCCGCAGAAGAAGCACCGGCUAACUCCGUGCCAGCAGCCGCGGUAAUACGGAGGGUGCAAGCGUUAAUCGGAAUUACUGGGCGUAAAGCGCACGCAGGCGGUCUGUCAAGUCGGAUGUGAAAUCCCCGGGCUCAACCUGGGAACUGCAUUCGAAACUGGCAGGCUAGAGUCUUGUAGAGGGGGGUAGAAUUCCAGGUGUAGCGGUGAAAUGCGUAGAGAUCUGGAGGAAUACCGGUGGCGAAGGCGGCCCCCUGGACAAAGACUGACGCUCAGGUGCGAAAGCGUGGGGAGCAAACAGGAUUAGAUACCCUGGUAGUCCACGCCGUAAACGAUGUCGAUUUGGAGGUUGUGCCCUUGAGGCGUGGCUUCCGGAGCUAACGCGUUAAAUCGACCGCCUGGGGAGUACGGCCGCAAGGUUAAAACUCAAAUGAAUUGACGGGGGCCCGCACAAGCGGUGGAGCAUGUGGUUUAAUUCGAUGCAACGCGAAGAACCUUACCUGGUCUUGACAUCCACAGAACUUUCCAGAGAUGGAUUGGUGCCUUCGGGAACUGUGAGACAGGUGCUGCAUGGCUGUCGUCAGCUCGUGUUGUGAAAUGUUGGGUUAAGUCCCGCAACGAGCGCAACCCUUAUCCUUUGUUGCCAGCGGUUCGGCCGGGAACUCAAAGGAGACUGCCAGUGAUAAACUGGAGGAAGGUGGGGAUGACGUCAAGUCAUCAUGGCCCUUACGACCAGGGCUACACACGUGCUACAAUGGCAUAUACAAAGAGAAGCGACCUCGCGAGAGCAAGCGGACCUCAUAAAGUAUGUCGUAGUCCGGAUUGGAGUCUGCAACUCGACUCCAUGAAGUCGGAAUCGCUAGUAAUCGUAGAUCAGAAUGCUACGGUGAAUACGUUCCCGGGCCUUGUACACACCGCCCGUCACACCAUGGGAGUGGGUUGCAAAAGAAGUAGGUAGCUUAACCUUCGGGAGGGCGCUUACCACUUUGUGAUUCAUGACUGGGGUGAAGUCGUAACAAGGUAACCGUAGGGGAACCUGCGGUUGGAUCACCU